Non-coding RNA from Eubacterium sp. CAG:76, 389 nucleotides. Lineage: Bacteria; Bacillati; Bacillota; Clostridia; Eubacteriales; Eubacteriaceae. The record is from Rfam.
UGAGUAGUACAGAUGAUCGCGGCUGCAAGUGUCGAAAGACCGCAGGUGAGGAAAGUCCGGGCUUCGCAGGGCAGGAUGCCGGAUAACGUCCGGUGGAGGUGACUCCAAGGCUAGUGCAACAGAAAUAUACCGCCAGUGCUUAACACUUAGUGUUGAGCUUAUUGGUAAGGGUGGAAAGGCAGUGUAAGAGACUACCGUGGUAUUGGUAACAAUACUGGCUAUGUAAACCCCAUUCGAAGCAAGACCAAAUAUAAAGCGAUACGGCUGCCCGUCGUGCUUUUAGGUAGGUUGCUUGAGCCUGCUGGUAACAGCAGGUCUAGAUAGAUGAUCAUCAGUAGUCAGGUCAAAGCCUGGCUGGACAUAACCCGGCUUAUAGUACUGCUCAUAUU